This 301-nucleotide ribosomal RNA is filed under the name uncultured bacterium. RNAcentral describes it as "partial 16S ribosomal RNA". It matches the Rfam family "Bacterial small subunit ribosomal RNA", at positions 509 to 807 of the family's 1533-position model. The record is from RNAcentral.
CAGUCGCCGCGGUAAAACAGAGGGUGCAAGCGUUAAUCGGAAUUACUGGGCGUAAAGCGCGCGUAGGUGGUUUGUUAAGUUGGAUGUGAAAGCCCCGGGCUCAACCUGGGAACUGCAUCCAAAACUGGCAAGCUAGAGUACGGUAGAGGGUGGUGGAAUUUCCUGUGUAGCGGUGAAAUGCGUAGAUAUAGGAAGGAACACCAGUGGCGAAGGCGACCACCUGGACUGAUACUGACACUGAGGUGCGAAAGCGUGGGGAGCAAACAGGAUUAGAGACCCCGGUAGUCCCUGUCUCUUAUAC